This 253-nucleotide ribosomal RNA is filed under the name uncultured bacterium. Its description in RNAcentral is "partial 16S ribosomal RNA". It matches the Rfam family "Bacterial small subunit ribosomal RNA", at positions 524 to 776 of the family's 1533-position model. The record is from RNAcentral.
UACAGAGGUCUCAAGCGUGGUUCGGAUUCAUUGGGUGUAAAGGGUGUGUAGGUGGCGUCGUAAGUCGGGUGUGAAAUUUCGGAGCUUAACUCCGAAACUGCAUUCGAUACUGCGGUGCUUGAGGACUGGAGAGGAGACUGGAAUUCAUGGUGUAGCAGUGAAAUGCGUAGAGAUCAUGAGGAAGACCAGUGGCGAAGGCGGGUCUCUGGACAGUUCCUGACACUGAGACACGAAGGCCAGGGGAGCAAACGGG